UCUACAGGACAGGGGACGGGACGGAUCUCCAAGACAGAAGGAUAUAUCCGAGAUCACACCGUGGAGAUGUGCGUUCCAAAUCUCCUCACCAGAGCGCUCCAGGGUGCAGAAGCAGAAAUCACCCUGCCAAGGGUCUCUCACCGGCCUAGACUUUGCCAAGGAGGGGAGCCCCAGGGAUCCUCCUGUCUCCAUUGAUCCAGAACCAAAAUUAUAAGUAUGUGCCAUCACACCCAGCUUUUCACAUGCGUGCUAGGGACUAAACUAGGAAGCUUUUGUCACA
Long non-coding RNA from Psammomys obesus (fat sand rat), 280 nucleotides. RefSeq lists it as uncharacterized. The transcript is spliced from 2 exons. The record is from RefSeq and is a predicted model, not a curated record. Lineage: Eukaryota; Metazoa; Chordata; Mammalia; Rodentia; Muridae.